RNAcentral lists this ribosomal RNA (522 nucleotides) under uncultured bacterium. RNAcentral describes it as "partial 16S ribosomal RNA". It matches the Rfam family "Bacterial small subunit ribosomal RNA", at positions 28 to 522 of the family's 1533-position model. The record is from RNAcentral.
GACGAACGCUGGCGGCGUGCCUAAUACAUGCAAGUCGAACGCUUUUUCUUUCACCGGAGCUUGCUCCAUCGAAAGAAAAAGAGUGGCGAACGGGUGAGUAACACGUGGGUAACCUGCCCAUCAGAAGGGGAUAACACUUGGAAACAGGUGCUAAUACCGUAUAACACUAUUUUCCGCAUGGAAGAAAGUUGAAAGGCGCUUUUGCGUCACUGAUGGAUGGACCCGCGGUGCAUUAGCUAGUUGGUGAGGUAACGGCUCACCAAGGCAACGAUGCAUAGCCGACCUGAGAGGGUGAUCGGCCACACCGGGACUGAGACACGGCCCAGACUCCUACGGGAGGCAGCAGUAGGGAAUCUUCGGCAAUGGACGAAAGUCUGACCGAGCAACGCCGCGUGAGUGAAGAAGGUUUUCGGAUCGUAAAACUCUGUUGUUAGAGAAGAACAAGGAUGAGAAGAGAAUGUUCAUCCCUUGACGGUAUCUAACCAGAAAGCCACGGCUAACUACGUGCCAGCAGCCGCGGAA